RNAcentral lists this long non-coding RNA (280 nucleotides) under Mytilus galloprovincialis (Mediterranean mussel). Lineage: Eukaryota; Metazoa; Mollusca; Bivalvia; Mytilida; Mytilidae. The record is from RNAcentral.
UGUUCUAUUUUUAGCCAUGGCGGCCAUCUUGGUUGGUUGGGCGGGUCACCGGACACAAUUUUUAAACUAGAUACCCCAAUGAUGAUUGUGGCCAAGUUUGGUUUAAUUUGGUCCAGUAGUUUCAGAGGAGAAGAUUUUUGUAAAAGAUAACUAAGAUUUACGAAAAAUGUGGUUAAAAAUUGACUAUAAAGGGCAAUAACUCCUAAAGGGGUCAACAGACCAUUUUGGUCAUGUUGACUUAUUUGUAGAUCUUACUUAGCUGAACAUUUUUGCUGUUUAC